AGUGAACGCUGGCGGUAGGCCUAACACAUGCAAGUCGAACGGCAGCACAGUAAGAGCUUGCUCUUACGGGUGGCGAGUGGCGGACGGGUGAGGAAUACAUCGGAAUCUACUUUUUCGUGGGGGAUAACGUAGGGAAACUUACGCUAAUACCUCAUACUACCUACGGGUUAAAGCAGGGUAUCUUCGGACCUUUCCCGAUUUAAUGAGCCGAUGUCGGUUUAGCUAGUUGGCGGGUGAAAGGCCAACCAAGGGGACGAUCCGUAGCUGGUCUGCGAGGAUGACCAGCAACCCUGGAAUUGGGACAGGGUCCAGACUCCUAGGGGAGGAAGCAGUGGGGAAUAUUGGAAAUGGGGCGCAAGCUGGAUCCAGAAAUACGGCGUGGGGGAGGAAGGCUUCCGGGUUGUAAAGCCCGUUUGUUGGGAAAGAAAAGCGGCAGGUUAAUACCCCGAUGUUCUGACGGUAGCCAAAGAAUAAGCACCGGCUAACUUCGUG
RNAcentral lists this ribosomal RNA (492 nucleotides) under uncultured bacterium. Its description in RNAcentral is "partial 16S ribosomal RNA". It matches the Rfam family "Bacterial small subunit ribosomal RNA", at positions 29 to 507 of the family's 1533-position model. The record is from RNAcentral.